Molecule: ribosomal RNA, 591 nt
Filed under: uncultured fungus
Lineage: Eukaryota; Fungi
Description: eukaryotic LSU rRNA
Rfam family: 5.8S ribosomal RNA (bases 201-354)
Source: RNAcentral
UAGUGAUUCUUGGUCAUUUAGAGGAAGUAAAAGUCGUAACAAGGUUUCCGUAGGUGAACCUGCGGAAGGAUCAUUAGUGAUUGCCUUUAUAGGCUUAUAACUAUAUCCACUUACACCUGUGAACUGUUCUACUACUUGACGCAAGUCGAGUAUUUUUACAAACAAUGUGUAAUGAACGUCGUUUUAUUAUAACAAAAUAAAACUUUCAACAACGGAUCUCUUGGCUCUCGCAUCGAUGAAGAACGCAGCGAAUUGCGAUAAGUAAUGUGAAUUGCAGAAUUCAGUGAAUCAUCGAAUCUUUGAACGCAGCUUGCGCUCUCUGGUAUUCCGGAGAGCAUGCCUGUUUCAGUGUCAUGAAAUCUCAACCACUAGGGUUUCCUAAUGGAUUGGAUUUGGGCGUCUGCGAUUUCUGAUCGCUCGCCUUAAAAGAGUUAGCAAGUUUGACAUUAAUGUCUGGUGUAAUAAGUUUCACUGGGUCCAUUGUGUUGAAGCGUGCUUCUAAUCGUCCGCAAGGACAAUUACUUUGACUCUGGCCUGAAAUCAGGUAGGAAUACCCGCUGAACUUAAGCAUAUCAAUAAGCGGAGGAAAUC